UUUUAAGUCCAAUCUGCCCAAUGAUUAUAUUAUUUUAAAUGGCUGCAGUAUAAAUAACUGUACUAAGGUAGCAUAAUAAUUUGUUUUUUAAUUAAAAACUAGAAUAAAAGAUUUAAUGAAAUAUAAACUCUAUUAAAAUUAAAAAUUAAAUUUUUUAUUUAAGUAAAAAAACUUAAAUUUAAUUUAAAGACAAUAAGACCCUAUAAAAUUUCAUUUUAAAUUUUAUAUUAAUUUUUUAUAUAAAUAUUAAAAUUUUAUUGGGGUAAUUAAAAAAUUAAUUAAACUUUUUUAAACUAACCCAGAAAUUACUGAAAAAAAAAUCUUAAAUUUUAAACUAUCAAAAUUAAUUACUUUAGGGAUAACAGCAUAA
Molecule: ribosomal RNA, 370 nt
Filed under: Allorhogas jaliscoensis
Lineage: Eukaryota; Metazoa; Arthropoda; Insecta; Hymenoptera; Braconidae
Description: partial 16S ribosomal RNA
Source: RNAcentral